GCCCCCAUUUCCGGCCGACGAUCGACGUCAAAAGCAAGCGUCUCCGGUACUGGUUCGCCGACGACCGUAGAAACGACUUGGUUUCAGUUGCCGGCCAUGGCGUCAGGCUAAUCAUAGCAUCAGUGAAGUUGGAAAAAGUCUAUGAACAGCAACCGCAACGGGCAGGUUUGAAGGUUGACUGCAGAGAAACAAAACCACUGAUGGCGUAUACACAUUGACUCUGCUAUUUUUGUCAGAACGAAAAAGGUUUUCU
Momordica charantia (bitter melon) is the source of this 253-nucleotide non-coding RNA. The record is from RefSeq and is a predicted model, not a curated record. Lineage: Eukaryota; Viridiplantae; Streptophyta; Magnoliopsida; Cucurbitales; Cucurbitaceae.